RNAcentral lists this transfer RNA (71 nucleotides) under Marmota monax (woodchuck). RNAcentral's name for it is "tRNA.Ala". It matches the Rfam family "tRNA". Rfam says of the family: Transfer RNA (tRNA) molecules are approximately 80 nucleotides in length. Their secondary structure includes four short double-helical elements and three loops (D, anti-codon, and T loops). Lineage: Eukaryota; Metazoa; Chordata; Mammalia; Rodentia; Sciuridae. The record is from RNAcentral.
GGGGUUGUGGCUCAGAGGUAGAGCACUUGCCUAGCAUGCAUAAGGCACUGGGUUCAAUCCCCAGCACCACA